RNAcentral lists this long non-coding RNA (1112 nucleotides) under Homo sapiens (human). RNAcentral describes it as "non-protein coding lnc-OXCT1-1:7". The record is from RNAcentral. Lineage: Eukaryota; Metazoa; Chordata; Mammalia; Primates; Hominidae.
GGAAGAGACUGAUGCCCUGCAAUGCCUCAGGACUCUCCAGAAUGUUUUCACCAGCAAAAAGGCCCUCAGCAGAUGCAGCCUCUCGACCUUGAACUUUCUAGCCUCCAAAAUGAGACAUCAUUCUGGCUGCAUUAUGAAUGGAUGGUUUGGAGGAAGAAUGUGGAUAGCUAAACAAGAAGGAGAAUAGAAAGAAACUACUCUUAAGACUAUUGCAAUAUCCAGUGUUAUCUCAGGACCAAGGAAUUAAUGGUGCAAUGUGCUUUGUUUCUGACUGCAGACUAUAAUGUUUAUUCCUAUUGGGGGCAGAGCAAGAUUUCAGUUUCUUUUCUCAGCAACAAGAAAAUACUCUGUCUGAAAUCAAGCAACUUCUGGGAAGACCAAGAGUGAUGGAAACUAGAGUUACAAAGCAAAAACCCUACAUCCUGAAUGCCCAGCCCGGUCAAUGAAAUUUUUCUGUCUCAUUUAUCAGCUAACUUGGUCCUCUUCCCCUGGGAACAAAACUGAGAAGGGUUAAGAGAUAAUGUGGAAACAAACUCCCCAGCACUUGCCUAAGAGGGCAGCUGUGUACCCAGACCUUCUUUCCUCUAUGUCAUUGUACUAGAAAGAGAGAGUUCCAUACUCUUUAAUCUGAAUAGUUGGCACUCACUUAAAAAAGAAUGCAGCCUGAUUCCUCUCUGCCCCUCUAGCUAUUUCCAGAAAGUUGUUCAUGGGAUGAAUUGGUAAGUAAAGAAUUCAGACACUGGUUCUGAUUAAGGGAUCUUAUAAAUGAUUUAUAACCUUUGGGAACAUCAAAGACAGCACUCAUAAGCCAGGCAAGCUAAGGGGUGCUCAGGAGUAAAAUGCACCUCCCCAUCUCACAAAUCCAUUGUUUUGAUGAAAGGAUAAGAGGCAGUUGGCCUGGGAAGGUGAAAAGGCAGGAAAAGAGUGGGAAGUCAGCUCCUAGGAUAAUAACCACAUCCACAGGCAUUGUCUCCUUUCACAUAUUUACAGCUUUUCUUUCUUAUCUUUCCACACCUCUAUAUUCAGUUAUGUAUGACCUACUAGCAAUUUACAGCUGCUUUAAAUGCAUACAUUUCAGGUAGGGUGUGUUGACUUAUGCCUGUAAUCCCAGC